CUAACUCCGUGCCAGCAGCCGCGGUAAUACGGAGGGUGCAAGCGUUGCUCGGAAUUACUGGGCGUAAAGCGCACGCAGGCGGCCCUGCAAGUCGGAUGUGAAAGCCCCGGGCUCAACCCGGGAACUGCAUUCGAAACUGCUGGGCUUGAGUUCGGAAGAGGGUGGUGGAAUUCCUGGUGUAGAGGUGAAAUUCGUUGAUAUCAGGAGGGAACACCGGCGGCGAAGGCGGCCACCUGGUCCGAUACUGACGCUCAUGUGCGAAAGCGUGGGGUAGCAAACAGGAUUAGAUACCCUGGUAGUCCACGCCGUAAACGAUGAAUGCUAGGUGUUGGAGGUAUUCACCCCUUCAGUGCCGAAGUUAACGCAUUAAGCAGUUCCGCCUGGGGAGUACGGCCGCAAGGUUAAAACUCAAAGGAAUUGACGGG
This 425-nucleotide ribosomal RNA is filed under the name uncultured bacterium. RNAcentral's name for it is "bacterial SSU rRNA". It matches the Rfam family "Bacterial small subunit ribosomal RNA", at positions 497 to 917 of the family's 1533-position model. The record is from RNAcentral.